AAUUUUAAAAGUCUCAUUUAAGUAUUUCUUUUGGUUUUCCUUGUAUAAAUAUAGCUAACUUUUAAACAUUUCUUUUCCGGCUUGUGUUGUUUGCUUUGGACCCUUCAGCACCUAUUUUUAAACGUUAAGCAUUCCCCAGUCAGCAUGAAAGUUUUACUGUUAGUUUUAUUUUGUUCCUAUAAUUUUGAUUCCCCCCAGAAACUGCCACAGAUGAAAUCAAGCCAAUAGAAUUGAAAGCAAAGAUCACCUGGUGGCCAUGAAGCCGACCAUCCUUAGGCAGAAACUCCUUACCUGAGGAAUUUAGAGAUUACAAUGAUUCCACCUACAGAUGAUUAUGUAAUCCCAAUACCAGCCUGCAACAGCAACUUCCACAUAUAUGGGGCCUCUUGAUGGAAUCCGGUGUCUCCUGUCCCCACGCCAUCUGCAAUCAAUUGUGACUGCACUGACCUGCAUAAAAUUCACACGUUCUGAGAGAAAAGCAGUAUUUUUAGGACAAAGGAGAACAAAUCAGGAGCGUGAGAAAGGAAACUCUGCUGUCCCUGGACAACCUCCUCCUGAUUAGUCUGGCAUGAAAGCAAGGGAAAGCCAUCAAGAAAGUAACAGAAAACUCACAGGAUGGACAAAAUAUUUGUAAUUCAUAUAUCUGACAAGGGAUUUGUAUCCAGAGUGUAUA
Molecule: long non-coding RNA, 673 nt
Filed under: Homo sapiens (human)
Lineage: Eukaryota; Metazoa; Chordata; Mammalia; Primates; Hominidae
Description: HSALNT0311517
Source: RNAcentral